GGGGACCGCCGAUCGACCGGUGGUAGAUCGUGGAUCAGGCAAACCUAAGGCAGGAGCGUGAGGUGAACUGAAUUUCAGAGUGAACGAGAUCUUUGGUUUUGCCUUUGCUGACUGCUGAUCUGAUCGUCUCAAGUCUGGUGACCUGCUGCAGAAAACCCUCUCCCUCUAUCAUUAACAAGCAAUUCAGUCUGUCCUAUCACUCUCCCUCUCCCUGCUCCAUCUUUUUUGACAAGCCAUUCUAUCUUCUAUCAUUUCUCCGCCAUGAGCUCUAUCUAAGUUGACAAGCUUGAACCUGAGUUGAAACGCAAUCCUGUGACUUGAAAUCAAGUUUUACCAGAAUCUAAGUUUUUGAAUUGAAGUUACCAGAACUUCGUCAAUCUGUUUUCAGAAUUCUGAGAGAUCUCCGCUCUCACUGCUCCAUCUUUCCUGUCGUUAAACUCUCUCACAUCCAGUCAUUUUGCUGGAAAUUACAAGUAAAAAGUUGAAUAUACAGUAAUAGAAUUACAGUACAGUAGAACUCACUGUAGAAACUACUUACAGAGCCCUACAUUUGUCAUUUUAAUUUUUACAUUACACUUUGGAAUAAACACUGAUAGUUUGGCUUACGGGUGCUGUUACUUUGAUAAAUUAUAUAAAAUACACACCUUUUUCAAGGUUUAUUUGUAAUAAGAUAAUCUGGUUAUUUUGUAAUACAUACAUUCAGACUUAUAUUCACAUAAAUAAUAAAUUGGAUCCAAAUAUAUUUUUCAAGUCUGUUUCAUUGGCUAUAACAUUUGACUACAAGUUUAUACUAUUAUUAUUUAAGGACAAACCCUUUUUUGUCACUCAGUGUAAGUAUUCAGUUACAGUUGUCAUCUAGAGGCUGCCCUGAGAACCCAGACUUCCUGUUUCCUGACUGCUGCAGAACGUCCAGCUGAAGAAUCCCCAUAGCCUGUCAUCUGAUCACCACACCAUCAC
Long non-coding RNA from Oreochromis aureus, 957 nucleotides. Lineage: Eukaryota; Metazoa; Chordata; Actinopteri; Cichliformes; Cichlidae. The record is from Ensembl.